GAUUUCUGACGAACCGGAGUGGCCCGUUUCCUUUCCGGGAAUGAGUGCCGCUUUGAGUUUGUCAUCCUUCCAGAGAGCUGCGUCUACCGUUUACUCGGCCGGACGUAUCGAUCUGGAUCUAUUACUUUGAAAAAAUUAGAGUGUUUAAAGCAGGCUUAUGCUCUGAAUACAUUAGCAUGGAAUAAUAAUUUAGGACUUUGGUUCUAUUUUGUUGGUUUCUAGAACUCGAGUAAUGAUUGAUAGGGAUAGUUGGGGGUGCUAGUAUUCAGUGGCCAGAGGUGAAAUUCUUGGAUUCACUGAAGACUAACUUAUGCGAAAGCAUU
RNAcentral lists this ribosomal RNA (323 nucleotides) under Euglypha sp. (in: cercozoans). Its description in RNAcentral is "SSU rRNA". The stretch from base 109 to 323 matches the Rfam family "Eukaryotic small subunit ribosomal RNA", at positions 739 to 955 of the family's 1831-position model. The record is from RNAcentral. Lineage: Eukaryota; Cercozoa; Imbricatea; Euglyphida; Euglyphidae.